AUUGAACGCUGGCGGAAUGCUUUACACAUGCAAGUCGAACGGCAGCACGGGAGCUUGCUCCUGGUGGCGAGUGGCGAACGGGUGAGUAAUGCAUCGGAACGUGCCCAUUUGUGGGGGAUAACUAGACGAAAGACUAGCUAGUACCGCAUAAGCUCGAGAGAGGAAAGCGGGGGAUCGUAAGACCACGCGCAGAUGGAGCGGCCGAUGUCCGAUUAGCUAGUUGGUGAGGUAAAGGCUCACCAAGGCGACGAUCGGUAGCUGGUCUGAGAGGACGACCAGCCACACUGGGACUGAGACACGGCCCAGACUCCUACGGGAGGCAGCAGUGGGGAAUUUUGGACAAUGGGGGCAACCCUGAUCCAGCCAUUCCGCGUGUGGGAAGAAGGCCUUCGGGUUGUAAACCACUUUCGGACGGGAAGAAAUCGACGUGACGAAUAAUCGUGUCGGAUGACGGUACCGUAAGAAGAAGCACCGGCUAACUACGUGCCAGCAGCCGCCGUAA
This 502-nucleotide ribosomal RNA is filed under the name uncultured bacterium. RNAcentral describes it as "partial 16S ribosomal RNA". It matches the Rfam family "Bacterial small subunit ribosomal RNA", at positions 29 to 523 of the family's 1533-position model. The record is from RNAcentral.